This 496-nucleotide long non-coding RNA is filed under the name Setaria italica (foxtail millet). Its description in RNAcentral is "long non-coding RNA (SITA_LNC003132)". Lineage: Eukaryota; Viridiplantae; Streptophyta; Magnoliopsida; Poales; Poaceae. The record is from RNAcentral.
GGCGAGCGGCGUGGAUGCGUGCAGUGGUGGGCGCAUGCGGGCGGCGGCAGGGUAGAGGUGGGGCGGAGCUGAGAGCAGGCGGGCGGCGGCGGAGGGGUGGAGGCCGGCGGCGGUGGGCGGCGCGCGUGGGCGGCCAGCGGGCGGUGCGGGAGCCGAGGCGGGCGGAGGCCGCCCGGUUCUUUUUUUUAUUUCCAAAAUUUUUUAGUCGAUGACCCGGGACUAAAGGCCUCCCUUUUGUCUCGAAAAAAUUAUCCUAGAUGGCUUUUAGAGGGAUUGGAGGCCUACCAGCCGGGAUUAAAGCUGAGUUUUCCAGUAGUGUUUUCAGGGCCAUGCUAUUUAUGCAAUAUGAUGAGAAGAGUAUCUCCUGUCAUUUUGCUUCGGCACCAGCGAAAUGUUCUACGGUACGCUGGUGACCAAAUUAGAUGUGUGACUCAGCGACUCUGCAGCAUCUCAUUGAUCUCGUCGAGUUCAAAAAGAUCGUUACCGGGUUUGGUGU